This 468-nucleotide ribosomal RNA is filed under the name uncultured bacterium. RNAcentral describes it as "partial 16S ribosomal RNA". It matches the Rfam family "Bacterial small subunit ribosomal RNA", at positions 28 to 507 of the family's 1533-position model. The record is from RNAcentral.
GACGAACGCUGGCGGCGUGCUUAACACAUGCAAGUCGAACGGAAAGGCCCUGCUUUUGUGGGGUGCUCGAGUGGCGAACGGGUGAGUAACACGUGAGUAACCUGCCCUUGACUUUGGGAUAACUUCAGGAAACUGGGGCUAAUACCGGAUAGGAGCUCCUGCUGCAUGGUGGGGGUUGGAAAGUUUCGGCGGUUGGGGAUGGACUCGCGGCUUAUCAGCUUGUUGGUGGGGUAGUGGCUUACCAAGGCUUUGACGGGUAGCCGGCCUGAGAGGGUGACCGGCCACAUUGCGACUGAGAUACGGCCCAGACUCCUACGGGCGGCAGCAGUGGAGAAUUUUGCACAAGGGGCGGAAGCCUGAAGCAGCAACGCCGCGGGCGGUAUGACGGCCUUCGGGUUGUAAACCGCUUUCGCCUGUGACGAAGCGAGAGUGACGGUAAUGGGUAAAGAAGCACCGGCUAACUACGUG